RNAcentral lists this ribosomal RNA (152 nucleotides) under uncultured soil bacterium. RNAcentral describes it as "partial 16S ribosomal RNA". It matches the Rfam family "Bacterial small subunit ribosomal RNA", at positions 26 to 173 of the family's 1533-position model. The record is from RNAcentral.
AGAUUGAACGCUGGGCGGCAGGCCUAACACAUGCAAGUCGAGCGGCAGCACGGGUACUUGUACCUGGUGGCGAGCGGGCGGACGGGUGAGUAAUGCCUAGGAAUCUGCCUGGUAGUGGGGGAUAACGCUCGGAAACGGACGCUAAUACUGCA